This 532-nucleotide ribosomal RNA is filed under the name Gordonia sp. i37. RNAcentral describes it as "bacterial SSU rRNA". It matches the Rfam family "Bacterial small subunit ribosomal RNA", at positions 469 to 998 of the family's 1533-position model. Lineage: Bacteria; Bacillati; Actinomycetota; Actinomycetes; Mycobacteriales; Gordoniaceae. The record is from RNAcentral.
GUGACGGUACCUGCAGAAGAAGCACCGGCCAACUACGUGCCAGCAGCCGCGGUAAUACGUAGGGUGCGAGCGUUGUCCGGAAUUACUGGGCGUAAAGAGCUCGUAGGCGGUUUGUCGCGUCGUCUGUGAAAUUCUGCAGCUUAACUGCAGGCGUGCAGGCGAUACGGGCAGACUUGAGUACUACAGGGGAGACUGGAAUUCCUGGUGUAGCGGUGAAAUGCGCAGAUAUCAGGAGGAACACCGGUGGCGAAGGCGGGUCUCUGGGUAGUAACUGACGCUGAGGAGCGAAAGCGUGGGUAGCGAACAGGAUUAGAUACCCUGGUAGUCCACGCCGUAAACGGUGGGUACUAGGUGUGGGUUCCAUUUCACGGGAUCCGUGCCGUAGCUAACGCAUUAAGUACCCCGCCUGGGGAGUACGGCCGCAAGGCUAAAACUCAAAGGAAUUGACGGGGGCCCGCACAAGCGGCGGAGCAUGUGGAUUAAUUCGAUGCAACGCGAAGAACCUUACCUGGGUUUGACAUACACCAGACGC